CAGAUUGGAUUUGCUGAAGGUCUUUUUCUUCAUCGUGUCCUGUUGGUAAACAUUAAGCCUGGAAUCAACUUGAUCUUACAGGUAUGGUUUUCUUUUUCAUUUAAUCUUCAUCGAAUCGUAUUUAAGUAUAACGACUUAUUAGGAUUAUUUUUUGUUUUGUUUUGUUAUUAGUUGUUUUAAUAAAAUCCAUAAACAUAUGGAUUUAUGUUUUAUACUUUUAAUCUUCUGUUUUUUUACUAUCGUUGAUUAUAAUCACAAAUAUGUAUCUAUAGAUCUGAUGUUUUUACUAAUUUUGACCAUUGAAAUUCCAAAAAAUCUAAUCUUGAUGUUUGGACCAUCAAUUAGAUGGUGAUUUUGAAGUUGUUGAUCAGUCGGAUAGUGAUGUUUCUAUCGAUAGGAUGUUCGAUGAAGAUGAUGAGCAAGAUACGGAUGCACAGAGUAUCAUAAAGUUUUUGACAAACGUUUUUCUGGGAAGACCCUUAGCGAAAAGAGAUACGAUUAACUCGAAGGUUAUUAAAGAAGUUGUUUCUACACUGGGCCGACCUUUGGCAGACGUAUUUUUGCACUAACAGAAGGUUAUGGUGAAUUCACAGUCACUACAAAAGCCAAAAAAAAAAACAAGUUCUAUUAUGUUAAACAAGUUUUGAAUUGUUUAAUAUAUGUUUUCAGGUAUAUUUUCUCUCUAUCUUAUUGUAUCUAUAACUGGUAGUGGUGGAAAACUGGGCGGGUCAGGCUGCGGGCAGGUUGGGUAAUAGGUGAGUAAUGG
Helianthus annuus (common sunflower) is the source of this 766-nucleotide long non-coding RNA. RefSeq lists it as uncharacterized. The record is from RefSeq and is a predicted model, not a curated record. NCBI's taxonomy places the organism in Eukaryota, Viridiplantae, Streptophyta, Magnoliopsida, Asterales, Asteraceae. The transcript has 4 exons.